AGCGGGGUAGAGGAAUUGGUCAACUCAUCUAGCUCAUGACCUGAAGACUGCAGGUUCGAAUCCUGUCCCCGCCU
RNAcentral lists this transfer RNA (74 nucleotides) under Triticum aestivum (bread wheat). It matches the Rfam family "tRNA". From Rfam's summary of the family: Transfer RNA (tRNA) molecules are approximately 80 nucleotides in length. Their secondary structure includes four short double-helical elements and three loops (D, anti-codon, and T loops). Further hydrogen bonds mediate the characteristic L-shaped molecular structure. tRNAs have two regions of fundamental functional importance: the anti-codon, which is responsible for specific mRNA codon recognition, and the 3' end, to which the tRNAs corresponding amino acid is attached (by aminoacyl-tRNA synthetases). tRNAs cope with the degeneracy of the genetic code in two manners: having more than one tRNA (with a specific anti-codon) for a particular amino acid; and 'wobble' base-pairing, i.e. permitting non-standard base-pairing at the 3rd anti-codon position. Lineage: Eukaryota; Viridiplantae; Streptophyta; Magnoliopsida; Poales; Poaceae. RNAcentral also lists the same sequence under 1 other name. The record is from Rfam by way of RNAcentral.